RNAcentral lists this ribosomal RNA (736 nucleotides) under Legionellales bacterium. RNAcentral describes it as "partial 23S ribosomal RNA". It matches the Rfam family "Bacterial large subunit ribosomal RNA", at positions 1 to 784 of the family's 2925-position model. The record is from RNAcentral. Lineage: Bacteria; Pseudomonadati; Pseudomonadota; Gammaproteobacteria; Legionellales.
UUAUAUGGUCAAGCAAUUAAGCGCACACGGUGGAUGCCUAGGCGAUAAGAGGCGAAGAAGGACGUUGUAGCAUGCGAUAAGCCUCGGGGAGCUUGCAAACCAGCUUUGAUCCGAGGAUUUCCGAAUGGGGAAACCCACCUGCUUGCAGGUAUCCUGUACUGAAUACAUAGGUACAGGAAGCGAACCCGGGGAACUGAAACAUCUAAGUACCCGGAGGAAAAGAAAUCAACCGAGAUUCCCUUAGUAGCGGCGAGCGAACGGGGACCAGCCCUUAAGCUUUUUGAGUUCUAGUUGAACAGUCUGGAAAGUCUGACAAUAGAAGGUGAUAGUCCUGUAAACGAAAGGGCUCUUAAAGUGAAAACGAGUAGGGCGGAGCACGAGAAACUCUGUCUGAACAUGGGGGGACCAUCCUCCAAGGCUAAAUACUACUUAUCGACCGAUAGUGAACCAGUACCGUGAGGGAAAGGCGAAAAGAACCCCUGUUAGGGGAGUGAAAUAGAACCUGAAACCGUGUGCGUACAAGCAGUGGGAGCCUGUCUUCGGACAGGUGACUGCGUACCUUUUGUAUAAUGGGUCAGCGACUUAAUUUUAGUAGCAAGGUUAACCGAAUAGGGGAGCCGUAGAGAAAUCGAGUCUUAAUAGGGCGUAUAGUUGCUAGGAUUAGACCCGAAACCGGGCGAUCUAGCCAUGGCCAGGUUGAAGGUCGGGUAAUACCGACUGGAGGACCGAACCAACU